CCUACGGGGGGCAGCAGUGGGGGAUAUUGCACAAUGGGGGAAACCCUGAUGCAGCAACGCCGCGUGUGGGAAGAAGGUUUUCGGUAUGUAAACCUCUGUCCGUGGUGAAGAUAAUGACGGUAACUGACUAAGAAGCUCCGGCUAACUACGUGCCAGCAGCCGCGGUAAUACGUAGGGAGCAAGCGUUAUCCGGAUUUACUGGGUGUAAAGGGGGCGUAGGCGGUCUUGCAAGUCAGACGUGAAAAUCUCGGGCUCAACCUGUGGACUGCGUUUGAAACUGUGGGGCUUGAGUGCAGUAGAGGUAGGCGGAAUUCCCGGUGUAGCGGUGAAAUGCGUAGAGAUCGGGAGGAACACCAGUGGCGAAGGCGGCCUGCUGGGCGUUAACUGACGCUGAGGCACGAAAGCAUGGGUAGCAAACAGGAUUAGAUACCCGAGUAGUC
This 440-nucleotide ribosomal RNA is filed under the name uncultured bacterium. RNAcentral describes it as "partial 16S ribosomal RNA". It matches the Rfam family "Bacterial small subunit ribosomal RNA", at positions 338 to 795 of the family's 1533-position model. The record is from RNAcentral.